Molecule: ribosomal RNA, 253 nt
Filed under: uncultured bacterium
Lineage: Bacteria
Description: partial 16S ribosomal RNA
Rfam family: Bacterial small subunit ribosomal RNA
Source: RNAcentral
GACAGAGGUGCCGAGCGUUAGGCGGAAUCACUGGGCUUAAAGCGUGUGUAGGCGGGUGCCUAAGUACCUUGUGAAAUCCCACGGCUCAACCGUGGAACUGCUCGGUAUACUGGGUGCCUUGAGCCACUUAGGGGCAACCGGAACAAACGGUGGAGCGGUGAAAUGCGUAGAUAUCGUUUGGAACGCCAAUGGUGAAAACAGGUUGCUGGGAGUGCGCUGACGCUGAGACACGAAAGCCAGGGGAGCAAACGGG